ACGCGUAGGAAUCUACCUAGUAGAAGGGGAUAGCCCGGGGAAACCCGGAUUAAUACCGUAUACCUCCUUCGGGAGAAAGAAGGCCUCUCUUUGAAGCUUUCGCUAUUAGAUGAGCCUGCGUAAGAUUAGCUUGUUGGUGAGGUAAAGGCUCACCAAGGCGACGAUCUUUAGCUGGUCUGAGAGGACGAUCAGCCACAUUGGGACUGAGACACGGCCCAGACUCCUACGGGAGGCAGCAGUGGGGAAUAUUGGACAAUGGGCGCAAGCCUGAUCCAGCCAUACCGCGUGUGUGAAGAAGGCCUUCGGGUUGUAAAGCACUUUAAGCAGGGAGAACAAGUUAUAAGUUAAUACCUUAUAACCGUGAUGUUACCUGCAGAAUAAGCACCGGCU
RNAcentral lists this ribosomal RNA (390 nucleotides) under uncultured bacterium. RNAcentral describes it as "bacterial SSU rRNA". It matches the Rfam family "Bacterial small subunit ribosomal RNA", at positions 113 to 498 of the family's 1533-position model. The record is from RNAcentral.